Molecule: long non-coding RNA, 267 nt
Filed under: Capsicum annuum
Lineage: Eukaryota; Viridiplantae; Streptophyta; Magnoliopsida; Solanales; Solanaceae
Description: long non-coding RNA (CANN_LNC007064)
Source: RNAcentral
GGGGUGAUAUGUUUUGAGUUGAAAUUGAGUUGAAUGCCAUAGGUACCUUAGGUUUUUCUUUGUUAAGAAUCGUCAUGGUGUUCUUAUUAUGUUUUGAUUUCCAAAGGAAAUGCAAACGUUCUUUGUUGAGGGUGUUGAUAUGCCAAGGUUUCAUUGAACUUUCGAUGCUUAAAACUAGAAAAUAUGCAAGUACUUAGGUCCAUUUUGUUAGAUAUGAUGUCUUUUUGUGUUUAUGUGUAGAAAACUAGGUUUUUUGAGAUGAAGAGA